GAAGAAGGAAGCAGUGUGAAGAUAAGAUCAGAUUCAGAAAUAUCUGCUUUUAUCUAGGGUGGAAGCUGAUGCAUAUGCUCAGGUUUCCUCUGCUGCAUAGAGAAACUGACAAGUACAGAAAAAUCUAAAGAUACAGGUGAUAAAUUUACCGCAAACAAGAGUAUCUGGUGGGCGAUAACAGUACAUGUUUCCCAAGGGCCAACUCAGUGGCUUUAGACAGUCCUUCAAAGCAUUUAUGUCUACUGUGCUUGUUAGCUUCAGUAACACCAUUUGUACAAGAGCAAAUGCGAGAAACAAAAUGUGCUUGUGGUUUUUUUUCUGACUAUAUUUCCUCCUGGGUCCUUGACAAGCCCCCCCCCCCGGGAUCGCCUGAUUCAAUAGGUCUGGGGUAGAACCCUACAAUCUACAUGCUUAACAAAUAUCACAGGUUGUCCUAAUGUAGGGCCCCUGGAAAAACAAACAAACAAACAAACAAACAAACAAACAAACAAACAAACCAACCACUGACCAUAGGUUUUCAGCAGUGGCUCUCAAUCUUGGCAACACAUUGGAACCACUCGGAAACUUAAAAUUCUGAUACCUGGGUUUCACCCCCCAGAAAUUCUGCUGUAAUCAGCCCAGGUUGUGGGGAUUUUUAAAAGCUCCCCGGUGCCCUAACUGGUUUGGCUCAGUG
Molecule: long non-coding RNA, 673 nt
Organism: Myotis davidii
Lineage: Eukaryota; Metazoa; Chordata; Mammalia; Chiroptera; Vespertilionidae
Exons: 3
Source: RefSeq, a predicted model, not a curated record